Cytospora paraplurivora is the source of this 101-nucleotide non-coding RNA. The record is from the annotation of a GenBank genome assembly. NCBI's taxonomy places the organism in Eukaryota, Fungi, Ascomycota, Sordariomycetes, Diaporthales, Cytosporaceae.
UCUUCCGUAGUAUAGUGGUCAGUAUGUGAGCUUGUCAAGAUCCACGUUUCAAAUGUGGCUUCACAACGCUCGAGACCCGGGUUCAAUUCCCGGCGGGAGAG